GACGAACGCUGGCGGCGUGCUUAACACAUGCAAGUCGAGCGGUAAGGCUCCUUUGGGGGUACACGAGCGGCGAACGGGUGAGUAACACGUGAGUAAUCUGCCCUUGGCUCUGGGAUAAGC
Molecule: ribosomal RNA, 120 nt
Filed under: uncultured bacterium
Lineage: Bacteria
Description: partial 16S ribosomal RNA
Rfam family: Bacterial small subunit ribosomal RNA
Source: RNAcentral